CAGAUGUAGGGUUUCUCAAUACAAAUUGUAGAAUAAUUAAGGGUUAGUAUGCUACUAACCAAGAAAUGCAAUUGCUUGCUUUACGAAAUGGCGGCAAGUUAAUCACCUUCCUCUUUAAAAUCCCAUAAAUUAUUAUGAAAUAAAUAACUUGCAGAACCAAACAAAGCUUCCGAGCACAAAUUAUGGCAAACGGUAAGCACUGUAAUCAAUUUCCGGAACAUUAACUACUCUACGCUAUGUCGCGUUAAAUUUCAAAACAAAUAUAUUUAAAUUACCAAGACUUUAUGAACAGUCGGCUGCCGACUGACUCUCUUGCUUAAACUCAAUCCAGUAAUUUUCUGAAAGUAUCCAUGCCAUAUUGGGUUCUACGUUGGCGUUUUUUAAGAAAGCAAUCUUUCUACUUUUCAUCAUAGAAUUUAAACAAUGGAGCCAUACGCUAGUGUUGUUUUCUUUUUGACUAGCACUUUAUAUCAAUGUUAUUGGGCCAUUCUAUUUUUAGAGUACGAAAGCUUUCGAAGUACAUUUAGCAUAGUUUGCUUACCAUUAGUGGAAAUUACAAUUAUUUUUGAAAUUUGCGAACAGUCAAAAUUUUACAUCCUUUAAAUGAAUAAUUCAAAAUAUUUUGUGUUUUUCUAAUUUAUAAAUGAUAGAGUUUAAAGCAAGUGUUUGUGUAUCUCGUCAGAUUCAGAAAAACUAUAUAAACACAUCCUGAAAUUUUCAUUAAUUCAGGCAUAUGAUGAGAACAUAUAUUUUUAUCUGAAAAAAAUUGUUGAAUAAAAAUUUAUGCGUUAUCUUUCUGAUGCCACAGAAGUAAAUAUAUAUUUUUUACUCUCAAUAAUUAC
Schizosaccharomyces pombe (fission yeast) is the source of this 842-nucleotide non-coding RNA. The record is from the annotation of a GenBank genome assembly. NCBI's taxonomy places the organism in Eukaryota, Fungi, Ascomycota, Schizosaccharomycetes, Schizosaccharomycetales, Schizosaccharomycetaceae.